This 1368-nucleotide long non-coding RNA is filed under the name Gallus gallus (chicken). RNAcentral describes it as "lncRNA (ENSGALG00010006724.1)". The record is from RNAcentral. Lineage: Eukaryota; Metazoa; Chordata; Aves; Galliformes; Phasianidae.
CAGAGAGGUUCCUCCACUACUCCUAGAGGGCUGCCUCAACAGACUGUAGGAAAAUUAAUUCAUGGACUGCUCGAGUUAAACACCGGGAGCAGUGGAUCACUGAACAAUCUGCAGAAGGGCUCUGGAGACACACUAACACUGCAGAGCUGGGAUGUUUUCUCCAGGGAAGGGCCUGGACAGCACAGCUGAGCACCAUCAACUUGCGCAGCCAUGAGCUGGAGGGAACCAUGCCAGUCAGUAUGUUGUAGAUUAUUCAGAUCCUGGCAGGAAAAAUCAAAAUCAAAAGGUUUUUGAGCCUUCAAGACCGUUUUACUGGUCUGCAUUUUUUUGGAUCAUUUUCUAAAAGAGAUCAAGGCCAGCAUUCCUCGCUGCCAUGGGACUGCGUAUUGAAGAAAUGUCAUUGGAUACUGCACUAAAGCUGUGGCUGCUCUUUCUGCUUCCUACAUUCAUUUUCCACUGUGGAGUUGAGAGAGACACUUGUGGAAGUCUAGCUGCGUUCUUCUAGUCACCUGAGACCUCUGAUAUUUGUCAUCAUUAGCACAGUAGAAAACCUGAAUAAAGUUGGCACAAAGGAAAAUCUUUAUUCUGAGAUCGGCACCCCAGCUAACCUACCUAAUUUACUGCAUCUGGCUUGCCUACAAAAACACAAGACAAAGACAUUUCCAGCAUUUCAGUAACAAACUCAUCCAAAAAGCACCGGCUAGCUCUUACUUUAUGAGACAUUAGCUUGUCCAUGACUAUUCCAACACACCCUAUCAUUCCAACAGUUUUUCAAGCCUGGUCAACACCCCUGAUUCCCAAAUGACUUCUGCUUUAAUCCUCUUAAAGCAGGAAUGCUGGCUUUAUUUCUUGGCUCCAGUCACAGACUCUGUGGUUUUAGGGAUAUUUGAGUACCAAUAUUGGUUUUCUCUUUAACUGUUGAUGCUUUCCAAAGACUGUAUAUGCAGUUAAACUGCCAUUAAAUGCCAUAUUUUUCAAAUCUGUCUUGCUCAUUACAGUAUGAGAUACAAGCUGAAACUAUAAUCUGUAUUAGGAGGCUGCGUGUCUUCUGGUGUUGGGUAAUGGAGCAUUCUGAAGAUAUUUCCAUGUUGCCAAAAACAACAAUAAAAUCAAGAGACAGCGUGUCGCAUUUCCCUUAUAGACAGAUCCAGCUGUUCUCAAGUGCCUGGAAAAUCACAAGGGUGAGCAGCCACAAUAGUUAGUCCAUCAGCACUACUCAUUUGGCUGCCAGAACCAGCUGAUCUGAACCUUCAGUAGCUCCAUUUUAUAGGCAGUGGCCUUAACUGUCAUGAGAGUGCAGACUUUUUCUCCCAUUUAACCUGAGCUUCUCUUGCAUGAAAACACAUACAAGGAAUGGAGACCAACUCA